This 708-nucleotide ribosomal RNA is filed under the name uncultured Actinomycetes bacterium. Its description in RNAcentral is "bacterial SSU rRNA". It matches the Rfam family "Bacterial small subunit ribosomal RNA", at positions 750 to 1460 of the family's 1533-position model. The record is from RNAcentral. Lineage: Bacteria; Bacillati; Actinomycetota; Actinomycetes.
GGAGCGAAAGCGUGGGGAGCGAACAGGAUUAGAUACCCUGGUAGUCCACGCCGUAAACGGUGGGCGCUAGUUGUGCGAACCUUCCACGGUUUGUGCGACGCAGCUAACGCAUUAAGCGCCCCGCCUGGGGAGUACGAUCGCAAGAUUAAAACUCAAAGGAAUUGACGGGGCCCCGCACAAGCAGCGGAGCAUGCGGCUUAAUUCGACGCAACGCGAAGAACCUUACCAAGGCUUGACAUAUACAGGAAUACGGCAGAGAUGUCGUAGCCGCAAGGUCUGUAUACAGGUGGUGCAUGGUCGUCGUCAGCUCGUGUCGUGAGAUGUUGGGUUAAGUCCCGCAACGAGCGCAACCCUCGUUCUGUGUUGCCAGCAUUUAGUUGGGGACUCACAGGAGACUGCCGGGGUUAACUCGGAGGAAGGUGGGGAUGACGUCAAAUCAUCAUGCCCCUUAUGUCUUGGGCCGCACGCAUGCUACAAUGGCUGGUACAAACGGCUGCAAUACCGCAAGGUGGAGCGAAUCCGAGAAAGCCAGUCUCAGUUCGGAUUGGGGUCUGCAACUCGACCCCAUGAAGUCGGAGUUGCUAGUAAUCGUAGAUCAGCAACGCUACGGUGAAUACGUUCCCGGGGCUUGUACACACCGCCCGUCACAUCACGAAAGUCGGUAACACCCAAAGUCAGUGGCCCAACCGCAAGGAGGGAGCUGCCAAA